This 450-nucleotide ribosomal RNA is filed under the name uncultured bacterium. Its description in RNAcentral is "partial 16S ribosomal RNA". It matches the Rfam family "Bacterial small subunit ribosomal RNA", at positions 354 to 796 of the family's 1533-position model. The record is from RNAcentral.
GUGGGGAAUAUUGGACAAUGGGCGCAAGCCUGAUCCAGCAAUGCCGCGUGCAGGAAGAAGGCCUUCGGGUUGUAAACUGCUUUUGUACGGAACGAAACGGUCCUGGCUAAUAUCCGGGGCUAAUGACGGUACCGUAAGAAUAAGCACCGGCUAACUACGUGCCAGCAGCCGCGGUAAUACGUAGGGUGCGAGCGUUAAUCGGAAUUACUGGGCGUAAAGCGUGCGCAGGCGGUGCUGUAAGACAGGCGUGAAAUCCCCGGGCUCAACCUGGGAAUUGCGCUUGUGACUGCAGUGCUGGAGUGCGGCAGAGGGGGAUGGAAUUCCGCGUGUAGCAGUGAAAUGCGUAGAUAUGCGGAGGAACACCGAUGGCGAAGGCAAUCCCCUGGGCCUGCACUGACGCUCAUGCACGAAAGCGUGGGGAGCAAACAGGAUUAGAAACCCGAGUAGUCC